Molecule: ribosomal RNA, 250 nt
Filed under: uncultured bacterium
Lineage: Bacteria
Description: partial 16S ribosomal RNA
Rfam family: Bacterial small subunit ribosomal RNA
Source: RNAcentral
UAAGGAAUAUUGGUCAAUGGAGGCAACUCUGAACCAGCCAUGCCGCGUGCAGGAUGAAGGCCCUAUGGGUCGUAAACUGCUUUUAUACCAGAGAAAACCCUUCCACGUGUGGAAGGCUGAUAGUAUGGUAAGAAUAAGCAUCGGCUAACUUCGUGCCAGCAGCCGCGGUAAGACGAAGGAUGCAAGCGUUAUCCGGAUUCAUUGGGUUUAAAGGGUGCGUAGGCGGACCAGUAAGUCAGUGGUGAAAUCU